ACAGGGCAGGGCCGGCGCUGCCGGGGUCAGAAGUGUCUGGGCCACUCCAGAGCCUGCACUCUCGAGGUCGAGAGGGAACCCGACAGAACCGGAUUGGAACACGGUCUCCAGCCCUUGCCCGCUGUGCGCACCUGGGCAAAUCCCUCCAGUUCUGUAAGCCGCAGCCUCUCCGGAGAACGGACACGAUUGCGCCCACCUUGCUGCGAGGCUGGAAAUGCGGGCGGGGUCUGGCACGGAGUCAGGGAUACUCACUGAGCACCUUCCAGAUGGCAGAACUGAGCUGAUGGUGGAUCUGUCAGUGAACAGAUAACACAUAAAAGUAGGAGACCACGUUGGGUGAUAGUACUGCCGAGAGUCUCGAGCGUGCAGUUGCGUGAUGCCUCCAGAUAUUGGAGCAGAGGCCACACUCUUCCCAGCAGCCACUGCAUCAAUGACUGCACCCCCAAGGGGGUUCUGGGGGUGCAGAACAACAGCCUUUGCUCCAGAGCUUGCCAUGGGUCGGCCGAGACCGUGAAGUCAGAUCUGCACAACCGGCUGAGGCUCCACCUGCCCAGGCUGGCUCCUCCAAGUUUUAUUUUUAGCACGUGUUACCUCCCAAUAAACUCUUGCAUUCCUAA
This is a long non-coding RNA of Lemur catta (Ring-tailed lemur), 617 nucleotides long. RefSeq lists it as uncharacterized. NCBI's taxonomy places the organism in Eukaryota, Metazoa, Chordata, Mammalia, Primates, Lemuridae. The record is from RefSeq and is a predicted model, not a curated record. The transcript is spliced from 3 exons.